This 383-nucleotide long non-coding RNA is filed under the name Sorghum bicolor (sorghum). RNAcentral describes it as "long non-coding RNA (SBIC_LNC001767)". The record is from RNAcentral. Lineage: Eukaryota; Viridiplantae; Streptophyta; Magnoliopsida; Poales; Poaceae.
GAGGGCUGUGCUGGUGGCCGUCGUGCUGAUGCAGUGCUGCAACGUGAUGAUCGUCGCGGCGAGGCCGUUUCUGAUGGAGGCACCCGUGGUAGCGACGACAGAAGACGGCGGCUGGCUGGGGAUGAUCAUGCAGGUACUAAAAGGCGGGCCGGGCGGCAACAACCACAACUGCCAAGCUCCCAACGGAUCGUGCCCCUGAUAAACUUGCCGGGGCGGCGGCUGGGUGGCAAAGCUCCCGGCCACCCGCCGUAAACUUGCCGGGGCGGCGCCUCCAUCAACAACGUACUGGAUGCACGCAUGCAGGCUCUUUGCUGAUCAGUGACCAAGAUAGGCUGGAUGCGAUUUUGUUAAUUUUAUUUAGGCGUUAAUUAGCAUACAUGUAC